GAUAUAUUCUGGUUGAUCCUGCCAGUUGUCACAUGCUUGUCUCAAAGAUUAAGCCAUGCAUGUCCAAGUACACACUGUUGCACAGUGAAACCGCGAAUGGCUCAUUAAAUCAGUUAUGGUUUAUUGGAUCGUGCUUACCUAUGUGGAUAACUGUGGUAAUUCUAGAGCUAAUACAUGCAACUGGCCCUGACUUUACGGAGGGGCGCUUUUAUUAGAUCAAAAUCAAUCAGGCUUGUCCUGUUAUCGUGAUGACUCUGGAUAACUUUGUGCCGACCGCAUGGCCUUGAGCCGGCGGCGUAUCUUUCAAAUGUCUGCCCUAUCAACUUUCGAUGGUAGGUGACAUGCCUACCAUGGUUGUAACGGGUAACGGAGAAUCAGGGUUCGAUUCCGGAGAGGGAGCCUGAGAAACGGCUACCACAUCCAAGGAAGGCAGCAGGCGCGCAAAUUACCCACUCCCGGCACGGGGAGGUAGUGACGAAAAAUAACGAUGCUGGGUUUUCAACUCGGCAAUCGGAAUGAGUACACUUUAAAUCCUUUAACGAGGAUCUAAUGGAGGGCAAGUCUGGUGCCAGCAGCCGCGGUAAUUCCAGCUCCAUGAGCAUGUACGUAAGUUGUUGCAGUUAAAAAGCUCGUAGUUGGAUCUCAGGCCGUGGUCAAUGGUCUGUCCGAUAAGGAUGUGCACUGUUGUACCUGGUCUACAUCUGGUUCAACGUUCGUAGUGCCCUUAACCGGGUGCUGCGGAACGCCA
RNAcentral lists this ribosomal RNA (748 nucleotides) under Bdellovibrionales bacterium. RNAcentral describes it as "bacterial SSU rRNA". It matches the Rfam family "Eukaryotic small subunit ribosomal RNA", at positions 1 to 746 of the family's 1831-position model. The record is from RNAcentral. Lineage: Bacteria; Pseudomonadati; Bdellovibrionota; Bdellovibrionia; Bdellovibrionales.